RNAcentral lists this unclassified non-coding RNA (377 nucleotides) under uncultured Actinomycetes bacterium. RNAcentral describes it as "uncultured actinobacterium contains 16S-23S intergenic spacer region". Lineage: Bacteria; Bacillati; Actinomycetota; Actinomycetes. The record is from RNAcentral.
UCCGAGUUGACCCCGGCAGUCUCCUGCGAGUCCCCGGCUUUACCCGCUGGCAACACAGGACAAGGGUUGCGCUCGUUGCGGGACUUAACCCAACAUCUCACGACACGAGCUGACGACAACCAUGCACCACCUGUACACCGACCUUGCGGGGCACCCAUCUCUGCAGCUUUUCCCUACAUGUCAAGCCCAGGUAAGGUUCUUCGCGUUGCCUCGAAUUAAGCAACAUGCUCCGCUGCUUGUGCGGGCCCCCGUCAAUUCCUUUGAGUUUUAGCCUUGCGGCCGUACUCCCCAGGCGGGGUACUUAAUGCGUUAGCUGCGGCACGGAAACCGUCGAUAGGUCCCCACACCUAGUACCCAACGUUUACGGCGUGGACUAC